This 334-nucleotide long non-coding RNA is filed under the name Malus domestica (apple). Its description in RNAcentral is "long non-coding RNA (MDOM_LNC015048)". Lineage: Eukaryota; Viridiplantae; Streptophyta; Magnoliopsida; Rosales; Rosaceae. The record is from RNAcentral.
GCAGGAUCUUGGCCCUUUUGUUAUAGCUAGAGAUGAGCUGAUGUUGGUAGACUGCGAUGCGGGUGAUGACCUUCUCACUUUUCUCCUCUGCCAUAUCUAAGUUUGUGGCCAUCUCAUUUCUGUUUUGUUCGAUGUUUGGCAGUAGAGUGCUGAUACUUGGCAGGAUGACAUUAUAAGGAAUGAUUGCUUCUGAACCAAAUGCCAAAAAGAAAUGAGUCUCGUUGAUUGCUUGUCGUUUGGUUGUGUGAUACGCCCAUAGACAUCUGGGAAGUUCGUCUGGCCAUUUUUCCUUCUUAUCGGAGAGGAAGUUCUUGAGGUAGUCGAGAAUCGUCUU